This 500-nucleotide unclassified non-coding RNA is filed under the name Pseudognaphalium luteoalbum. RNAcentral's name for it is "partial external transcribed spacer". The stretch from base 403 to 500 matches the Rfam family "Eukaryotic small subunit ribosomal RNA", at positions 1 to 97 of the family's 1831-position model. The record is from RNAcentral. Lineage: Eukaryota; Viridiplantae; Streptophyta; Magnoliopsida; Asterales; Asteraceae.
UGAGUGGUGUUUGGUUUGUUACGGGUGGUUGGCUCUUUGCUUGCGCAACAACUUCUACCUGGCAUACCUCUUCAGUCUUGUGUCAAUGCUUGUAUUGCAUUGAAUGCACGGUGGGUUUCUUGUGUUGCAUACCUAAUUUAAUGGUAUUGCUUGAUGUAUUGGUUUUCCUUUCGUUUUGCAUUGCCUAUGCGAUGUGAGAUGAACCUUGAAGCAGCCUUUGUGAUCCACUGAUUUGAUGUAUAUGCAUUGAUUUUGUGGCCCAUUGAGUGUUGCUCGGUCUCAUGGAUAUGGAACCUGGUGUGGGCAUGGAAUCUUAAUGGUUCCUUGUUUGCCCAAGUUUAGCUUUUCUAAAACGAUUGUCUAUCAUGUGUUAACAUGCUAGACUACUUCGGAUAUGAAUGCUACCUGGUUGAUCCUGCCAGUAGUCAUAUGCUUGUCUCAAAGAUUAAGCCAUGCAUGUGUAAGUAUGAACAAAUUCAGACUCUGAAACUGCGAAUGGC